Molecule: ribosomal RNA, 479 nt
Filed under: Cladosporium sp. 1 ZZ-2014
Lineage: Eukaryota; Fungi; Ascomycota; Dothideomycetes; Cladosporiales; Cladosporiaceae
Description: eukaryotic LSU rRNA
Rfam family: 5.8S ribosomal RNA (bases 116-269)
Source: RNAcentral
UGUUGUCCGACUCUGUUGCCUCCGGGGCGACCCUGCCUUCGGGCGGGGGCUCCGGGUGGACACUUCAAACUCUUGCGUAACUUUGCAGUCUGAGUAAACUUAAUUAAUAAAUUAAAACUUUUAACAACGGAUCUCUUGGUUCUGGCAUCGAUGAAGAACGCAGCGAAAUGCGAUAAGUAAUGUGAAUUGCAGAAUUCAGUGAAUCAUCGAAUCUUUGAACGCACAUUGCGCCCCCUGGUAUUCCGGGGGGCAUGCCUGUUCGAGCGUCAUUUCACCACUCAAGCCUCGCUUGGUAUUGGGCAACGCGGUCCGCCGCGUGCCUCAAAUCGACCGGCUGGGUCUUCUGUCCCCUAAGCGUUGUGGAAACUAUUCGCUAAAGGGUGUUCGGGAGGCUACGCCGUAAAACAACCCCAUUUCUAAGGUUGACCUCGGAUCAGGUAGGGAUACCCGCUGAACUUAAGCAUAUCAUAAGCGGAGGA